Molecule: transfer RNA, 107 nt
Filed under: Candidatus Bathyarchaeota archaeon
Lineage: Archaea; Thermoproteati; Candidatus Bathyarchaeota
Also listed under: 1 other name
Description: tRNA-Leu
Rfam family: tRNA
About the family: Transfer RNA (tRNA) molecules are approximately 80 nucleotides in length. Their secondary structure includes four short double-helical elements and three loops (D, anti-codon, and T loops).
Source: RNAcentral
GCGGGGGUGGCAGAGCCAGGUCAAACAGGCAGAUUUGGACUUAAUGCGCGGGACUCAAGAUCCCGUCCCGAAGGGGUUCGUGGGUUCGAAUCCCACCCCCCGCACCA